This is a long non-coding RNA of Oryza brachyantha (malo sina), 1255 nucleotides long. RefSeq lists it as uncharacterized. Lineage: Eukaryota; Viridiplantae; Streptophyta; Magnoliopsida; Poales; Poaceae. The transcript is spliced from 3 exons. The record is from RefSeq and is a predicted model, not a curated record.
UCCAUGUACAGGUUUGGUGACAAAUGGCAUGGCAUGUGCAGAUGUGCAAGGUGGUUUUGCCUGUCAUUAUCAGACAUGUUGAGUUGCAACACCGGCUACAACAAGGCUUGAAAGCUGCUUUCCAAGGGACAACGAAGCAGUUCCAUCAGAACGGACUACCACCAUUUGCUGAUUUGUUCUCUGCAGUGAUCCCCAAAGGAGUCCUGGCUUUGCUUCCUCUCAUCCUCAAACUGUAGCAUGACAAGAAAGACGUGCCGAACAAGAUCAGCAUCAGAACAUGACAAAAAGAUUUUCGCACUAGAAGCCGGUUUAUCCAAUUCCUCUGCAUGCCUUCCAUUAGCAAGUUAAGAUAAUGCGAGAUCAUUGGUUUUUGUCAAAGCAAAUCCAGACGAUUCUUGGUGGCCUGGAAAAAGGGCUCCUCCUUGAGUGAGAGAGCUCUUGUCCUAAUCCAUCAGCAAUGGCAUUAGUUCUUUUUGAUUAAGCAGCUGGAGGCCUCACAAAAGAAAUGCUAAGUACUACUACUGAAUUUAAAGCUGGCGUCUAGAAGGAGAAGAUUAGAAUGUCGUGAAAGCAAAGCUGAUAACAAGAGAGAUGUCAUCAUAUGAGCAGGCAGUCAGUUGCAGUCUUGUGGUUGCACCUCCCUUUCCGGCUGUUCCUUUUUCUGGUUUCCCUUCAUCAGAAUUAAAGCAGAUAUUUUUGUGGCUGCCGUGGAUUUCCAUUCAUCUGAUCGGCUCGUAAUAUUCUGCAAGUGCCUUCCUUCCGAUAGAAUUGAGAUGAUUCUGAGGUCAGAUAACUCAUCAGAUGCUUGAAGGAUAAGUGGGUUUCAGACUAUGCAGCUUCUGCAAAGGAUAUAGCCGGCGGAGUGAGGCUACUGGCUUAUCGUCUUGUAUAAACUAAUAGAGGAGUCAGUACAGAGACAUCAUCAGGUAAAGUCAGCAUAUGCAGCUAUCCAUCUAUGCAUUCAUGCACCAGCUGCAAAGUAAACGUAAAAGUGAAAGCUUUGUCUUCCAGGUGUGUGGAAGAAAAUCAUCCGGUGUGUGAUGGCUGUGCUUUUGUUUUCACCCAAAUGUGUAGUAUUUUGGCAUUUUUCACCAUGGUGGUAGGGUUGAUGUGAUCCUACUAAUGUGAGGUCAUGUAAUUUGUUAAACAAAUGGAGCACAUCGAUCAUGUCGUCAUGCACUGACGAAGAUAUAGUCAUUCAAACCCUCCAUUUGAUCAGCAGAGAAAAAUUCAAAGGAAAAAAAAAAGAUGUGUA